This 468-nucleotide ribosomal RNA is filed under the name uncultured bacterium. RNAcentral describes it as "partial 16S ribosomal RNA". It matches the Rfam family "Bacterial small subunit ribosomal RNA", at positions 28 to 507 of the family's 1533-position model. The record is from RNAcentral.
GACGAACGCUGGCGGCGUGCUUAACACAUGCAAGUCGAACGGAGAGGCCCUGCUUUUGUGGGGGGCUCGAGUGGCGAACGGGUGAGUAACACGUGAGUAACCUGCCCUUGACUUUGGGAUAACUUCAGGAAACUGGGGCUAAUACCGGAUAGGAGCUCCUGCUGCAUGGUGGGGGUUGGAAAGUUUCGGCGGUUGGGGAUGGACUCGCGGCUUAUCAGCUUGUUGGUGGGGUAGUGGCUUACCAAGGCUUUGACGGGUAGCCGGCCUGAGAGGGUGACCGGCCACAUUGGGACUGAGAUACGGCCCAGACUCCUACGGGAGGCAGCAGUGGGGAAUAUUGCACAAUGGGCGGAAGCCUGAUGCAGCAACGCCGCGUGCGGGAUGAAGGCCUUCGGGUUGGAAACCGAUUUCGCCUGUGACGAAGCGUGAGUGACGGUAAUGGGUAAAGAAGCACCGGCUAACUACGUG